RNAcentral lists this microRNA precursor (54 nucleotides) under Parasteatoda tepidariorum (common house spider). Its description in RNAcentral is "microRNA pte-mir-277b precursor". Its record names the gene pte-mir-277b. Lineage: Eukaryota; Metazoa; Arthropoda; Arachnida; Araneae; Theridiidae. The record is from miRBase by way of RNAcentral.
CGUUCCAGAGGUGCAUUAUACAUAGACAUUUGUAAAUGCACCCUCUAGAACCAU